This 916-nucleotide long non-coding RNA is filed under the name Olea europaea (common olive). RNAcentral's name for it is "long non-coding RNA (OEUR_LNC012431)". The record is from RNAcentral. Lineage: Eukaryota; Viridiplantae; Streptophyta; Magnoliopsida; Lamiales; Oleaceae.
AGAAUUCUAUAAAUCAUAGUGACUUUUAACAUAAACCAAGCUAUACAUCACCAAGUAACAAUUACAUCAGUGCCCAAGAGAGAAUAUUCUUGUUAGGAAGUGGUAUGACAGAUUGGCAAUAAUCACUUAGAAAUGAAUUAAAUUGUGCAUUCCUAUUUCAUGUAAUUAUAUAUAGGAGGAUCUCACGAUAACACCAAUAUUCCAACACACGAAUUAAAUGGCAGUUGUUGCAAUCUUUACAACGUUAAUGGUGGUCUCUUUUCUGGUGUAUGUUAUGGCCCAAGAUUACUAUUCCCUCUCUUCCUUCAAUAGAAGGUUUCUUGAUAUUUCUAAGACCUGCAACCCACUAGAAACACAAAUGCUUGUUGUUGCAUUGCAUUCGAGAUGAUAAAUUUCAUGUGCAGAUAAUUAACUCGUCCACGGCCACCAAUCAAAAACUAUUCAAACGAAACCUGUGACCUUUCUUGCACAAUUCCAAAAACCACGUCUACAGCCACCAAUCAAAAAUCCCAGCACCAAUCUUUUUCUCAGGCUCCAACUGACCUUUCUUGAGCAAUUCCAACAUCACUAUGUGCUCAUACUGGGGAAAAAAGAAAGACAUAAACAACAUUAAGAUCAAGCCAAUUUCAUACUACAUAUUUAGAAUCAUAUGUUCAUUAUUGCACUUAAAUUAUGUUAGGAACAUGUUGUUGAAAACAACAAACUAAACACCAUCAUCGAAAACUCAAUUCCCAGCUUAUUUAUGAUACUACGAACCUAUGUCUAAAAUCUCCACAAAAUCUGAUUAUCCGGAAAGAGAUUCCUUCCCAUUGCCUAACAUGAUAUGUCAAUGGCAUAAUUGAGAAGAGUGAACAAAAGAACAAUGCCCAAACUGAGAGAUACAUAAGUUAGAUAGUGCUCGUUAACACCAUAUAUG